CGACGAAGAGGAAGCGUGGGAAUCCGGCGGCAAUGGCUGGGAUGUAAGUCCAACAUUGCUGGUGCCAGAGUAGCCACUGCUUGCUUAUAAGGGAAUCAUGUGUGUUGCCUUUUUGCCUUUUCCGACGUCCUCCUCCGACUGUACUCCCGAUCCCAGGACUGAACUUACGGGAAGGAGUGCUUGCAAGAUGGGAAACGAAGAAGAAGAAGCCGCUGAAUCCGGCGGCAAUGGCUGGGAUGCUGCGUUCUGGAGAAGAAGCGUUAUUUCUGCAUUCCAAGAAGGACGGCACAAUGUGUCGGACUGUCCGCGUCGCAUUGAACUGGUCCGAUGAGGCUGCUAUUGCACACACAGUGAGGGAACUCCCAUACGGGAACUCGGAAGUACUGCUACAGUACAGGUAUAUCACCCCGUGACGACCACAUCGAAGUCUGAAAUUGAAGUGUGAAGAUGCUUCAGCAACCCCUUCAUAUUUUUCCAUUGCUUUUAUUGUGCUUCUACUGUGCAUGUGUGUAACCUGUGGGGUAUGCAUGUGAUGACAAUGUAUGCCGAUGACACGGUCAGAUUUUGUCCAUGCGUGUAACGUACACCUGCAUGCUAUCGUUGAAAAGGAUCUGCCACUUACGAUCUUCGGACGAGUCUGGUGUAUGGUGGCCACUUCUUUGCUCGUCUUUGUAUGACAUUACAAUAAUUCUGUAUUCACUGCUUCCAUGGUGUGGUCUGCAAACUGCAAUCCUUAGGCAAAUAUCAUCACGGUUUGCAAUGUUGUGCUUUGGCUGCUAGCUUACCUACACAUUGUAGUUGAAUUAUUUUUGUUUCACAACUGACUUCCUGAAGUAUGGUGGCCACUGCUUUGCAUGGCAUUAUACAAUGUUCA
This is a long non-coding RNA of Sycon ciliatum, 874 nucleotides long. RefSeq lists it as uncharacterized. The transcript has 4 exons. NCBI's taxonomy places the organism in Eukaryota, Metazoa, Porifera, Calcarea, Leucosolenida, Sycettidae. The record is from RefSeq and is a predicted model, not a curated record.